Non-coding RNA from Arachis ipaensis, 1781 nucleotides. The record is from RefSeq and is a predicted model, not a curated record. Lineage: Eukaryota; Viridiplantae; Streptophyta; Magnoliopsida; Fabales; Fabaceae.
AUCACUGUUAGAUCAAAAAAUAAACUCAAAUCACGUUUGCAAUCAAAAUAUACCUUAGUUAUUUCUUACGAUUUACAUCAUUGUGCGAAUUUUCACAAGGAAACCUUGCCAAAUGAAAAAAGGGAAGAAAAUAACAAAGAAAGACACCACAUCAACUGAGAAACAACAAGAAAAGUUACGUCCUGAAAUCUCCAAGAGGGAGAAGAAAAUGAAGACAAAUAAUAAAAGCGCUCUUGCAAAGAAAAAACCUCAUUGGUCUUCAAAGUUUCCAUCUCUCUGCCACUUCAAUGAAAGUAAUAACAAUGUUGAAGGUGAAACCAGCAAUUUGCCUCCAAACACCGAGUCAAAAGAUAUAUUGGAUUCAAAGUGUGAAGGAGACGGAAAAUUACAAAAAGACUGAUAACUAGGAGAGGGAUGACAAGGAAAUAUAACUUAUCAAUCUUUUCUCUCUUCGUAUUUUUUCUUGUAGUUUGAAAUCUUUACAUAAUUAUUCUAUCCAUAUUUCCAACUAAUGGUGAGAUGAUGUUCAAACAAAAUUUGUGGCGAAUAAUUAUAAUUUCUAUGCUACAAUUGUAGGAAGAAAGGUCACUUUAAAUUUGACUGUCCUAAAAUAUCAGACUCCACAAAUCUAUAGCAUAGCAAGACUGUGCAAAUAACAUCUUUGCACAUUUAUCCUAAUAGUGAACUACCUCUCAAAUUACAUAAGAGUUGAACUUAAAUAUUUUAAGUUGAACCAGUAUUUAUCGUCUACGCACUUCCUUUCUGAACUCUUAUCUCAGAUUCUAUUUUAAACGAACUUAAAAACAGGCUCAUAACCUGAACAAACUGACAUAUAUUUCCACUGCAUAUAAGUCAAAGACUUGAGAUGGUUUCUAAGUUCAUUUUCAAAUAGAAAGAUUUAAAGCACGAUUAAAUUCUCCAUCUCGUACAAUUUUUGCAGCUUCAUCCCUCAAGUUGAGUUUUUCUAGUCAUCUUUGUCUUCUUCAUACAAUUUCUCAUCAAGCUAGUGUUCUGUGCCUCUAUGUUUCUCACUCUCUCAGCCUCUGAUUUACUUUUCUUUUGUGGUCCAAUUCUCAUUAGACUCACUCCAACUCUCCUUCAAACAAAACUUAGUGGCCCAGAGAAGCUUUGUUCAUCAUCCUCAUCAGAUUCAACUUGCAAAGUCUUCACAUUUGAAUUGGGUUGUCUGGGUUACAUAAUAGAUAAUACACCCUGCUUCAUCACUUAUAUAUCGUAUGGGAUUUAUGUUGGGUAUUCAACAUACAGGAGUUCCACCAUUUCUAUUCUUUGAUAUAGAGGAAGCACACUGAACCAUACCUUGUGAAUCCCACUUAUUUAACCGUCACCAUAAAAAUCCUCCCUCCAAUCUUCAACCAUACAUCCCCUUGUAUUUUUCUUAUCAAACACAUAUCUAUAAGAACAUUUUCCUGAGCUAAAAGAGUAAUAAUCUUCCUAUGUUAUACAUUCUAGCCAGACUCUUAUACAAGCAUAAACAUAAACACUAAUUGUUCUUUCUUCUUCCUAGACAGAUCAAUAUCAUUUAUUCUCCCUGUCAAACAGAACAGAUUGAACAUCUCCUUCUUGGAGAUAUUCCGCACCAAAAUCCCAACAUGAUGAAAGAUUAAUGUUCUACCCUUUUAAAACUGAUCUACAAAUUCUUUGAAUUAGAAAGGCAAUGGCAAAUUGAUAGCUACAAGGGUGAACCAGCAUUACAUAUUUGCGAUAUAAGUAACACUUACCUGUGUAUCAUGGACAAGGAUACCAUCAAUUCUUCCUUAUUU